UCUUGAUUUAAAUGGAAGAACUUGAGUAGUAAUAGUUUAGGUCUUGAAACUUAAAGAAUUUGGCGGUAUUUUAGUCUGCUCAGAGGAAUCUGUUCCGUAAUCGAUAAUCCGCGUUGGACCUUUCUUAUUUUAUUUGUUUGUAUAUCGCCGUUAAGUUUAAAAAUCUUGGAAAAGUAUAAAAUUUUUAUAAUAUUUUGUUUGAUAAUUUUUCAGGUCAAGGUGCAGUUUAUAAGUAAGUGGAGAUGGAUUACAUUAGUAAUGAACUAUAGUUGAAUUAUUAAUUGGAAUAUAUUAAUAUGAAAUUGGAUUUGAUAGUAAUUUUGUGAAGAUUAAUAUUAUGAAUAUAGCUCUAUAAUAUGC
This 360-nucleotide ribosomal RNA is filed under the name Ectobiidae sp. 15 FL-2016. RNAcentral describes it as "12S ribosomal RNA". The record is from RNAcentral. Lineage: Eukaryota; Metazoa; Arthropoda; Insecta; Blattodea; Ectobiidae.